GGAAGAGGACUUCCUACCUCUCCUCCUUUCCCAGGACUUCGAAAAAAGAGAUCUCCUUAAAGACCUUUGUACUAUGGACUGAACAUACCUACACUCCUGGACCAGAUUGAUGAAGACUUCUU
Podarcis muralis (Common wall lizard) is the source of this 122-nucleotide non-coding RNA. NCBI's taxonomy places the organism in Eukaryota, Metazoa, Chordata, Lepidosauria, Squamata, Lacertidae. The record is from RefSeq and is a predicted model, not a curated record.